Molecule: ribosomal RNA, 251 nt
Filed under: uncultured bacterium
Lineage: Bacteria
Description: partial 16S ribosomal RNA
Rfam family: Bacterial small subunit ribosomal RNA
Source: RNAcentral
UACGUAGGGGGCAAGCGUUGUCCGGAGUUACUGGCGUAAAGCGCACGCAGGCGGUCUCUUAAGUUUGGAGUGACAGUUGGUGGCUUAACUGCCAAAGUGCUUCGAAAACUGAGAGACUUGAGGGCUUCAGAGGGACACGGAAUUCCGGGUGGAGUGGUGAAAUGCGUAGAGAUCCGGAGGAACACCAAAGGCGAAGGCAGUGUCCUGGGGAGUACCUGACGCUCAGGUGCGAAAGCCAGGGAGCGAACGGG